RNAcentral lists this unclassified non-coding RNA (245 nucleotides) under Hevea brasiliensis (rubber tree). Lineage: Eukaryota; Viridiplantae; Streptophyta; Magnoliopsida; Malpighiales; Euphorbiaceae. The record is from RNAcentral.
UGCAUAAAGAAAUACUCCUUCCACUUUCAUCUUGUGUUUUCUUUUGGGUUGAUGGUUGUUACCUUGGCUUUUGUUUAUAUGUUGCACGAGUUGCUUUUUGUGUUGUUGUUGGCUAUAAUUAUCUUUGUAAGUGUGGUGUGUCCGUAUUGGCUCAUUAAAAUUCAGGAAUACAAGUUUGAGAUAAAUGGUCCUUGGGAUGAGGCUAAACUUUGUUUCGAUAUAACCGAUUAAGAUUCUUUUGGAUG